ACAAACUUGGUCAUUUAGAGGAAGUAAAAGUCGUAACAAGGUCUCCGUAGGUGAACCUGCGGAGGGAUCAUUAUCGAGCGGUGGCCUCACGGCCCCUCACCCCUUGAAAAUCGUGGAGGAGAAGCCUGCUUUGGCGCCCGAGGCGCCAGAUUUAUGCCGAAAGCCAGUUAGAUUCUGAACGAGACACAAAAAUGAAAACUUUCAACAAAGGAUCUCUUGGCUCUUGCAUCGAUGAAAGACAAACUUGGUCAUUUAGAGGAAGUAAAAGUCGUAACAAGGUCUCCGUAGGUGAACCUGCGGAGGGAUCAUUAUCGAGCGGUGGCCUCACGGCCCCUCACCCCUUGAAAAUCGUGGAGGAGAAGCCUGCUUUGGCGCCCGAGGCGCCAGAUUUAUGCCGAAAGCCAGUUAGAUUCUGAACGAGACACAAAAAUGAAAACUUUCAACAAAGGAUCUCUUGGCUCUUGCAUCGAUGAAGAACGCAGC
This 483-nucleotide unclassified non-coding RNA is filed under the name uncultured fungus. RNAcentral describes it as "partial contains small subunit ribosomal RNA, internal transcribed spacer 1, and 5.8S ribosomal RNA". The stretch from base 1 to 73 matches the Rfam family "Eukaryotic small subunit ribosomal RNA", at positions 1759 to 1831 of the family's 1831-position model. Lineage: Eukaryota; Fungi. The record is from RNAcentral.